UCCUCAGUGAAAUAACUCAAGAAACAAAGUCAAAUAUGGCAUAUUCUCACUUAUAAGUGGGAGCUAAAUAAUGGGUAUACAUGGACAUACAGAGCAGAAUAAAAGACAUCGGAGACUAUGAAAGGAACUUCUUAGCAGAUCCACAAUGUGUGUCAUCUACCCAACCUCAUUAUCCGGGCCCGUCUCUCAUCCUCCCACACCAUCCAUGUCACAGCCUGGCUGCCUACUGCCUUUCAAAGGAUAACCAGUUGUCCAGUUUAUAAACUCCAAUUUCACUUUAAUAAAUUAAAUUCCAAGCCAUCA
Molecule: non-coding RNA, 303 nt
Organism: Macaca mulatta (Rhesus monkey)
Lineage: Eukaryota; Metazoa; Chordata; Mammalia; Primates; Cercopithecidae
Source: RefSeq, a predicted model, not a curated record